GUGGGCGAGUUUGGGGCCUGCGACAAACGGUGCCAGUCCUUAAGUCAUCCCCCCUGCACGGCACAGCGUCUGUGAGUGGCCAUUUGCUGAGAUACGAUUGCCACACCCAUGACUUCCUGCCAGCCAUCUGGGUCUCUCUGUUCCACCGUUCAUUACCUAAUGUUCCCCUCUCAAGCUGGAUCCAAAUAAAGUGUGUGCAGAUUUCAGCUCCAGAAGUCGUUCCAUCCCCUUGAUCAUCUUGUUGCCCUUCGCUGAACUUCUUCCAGUUCCACUAUGUCCUUUUUGAGAUGGAGCAACUCGAACUGGACCCCGCAAUCAAGGCAGAGGAUGGAUAUCCUAAAAUAUCUGCUAGAAGGACCAAGAAACUAGAGGAGAUCACGCCACCAGGGCAGUGGCAACUCCGGCAGCGAGAGGUUCAGACUGGUGGCUGGAAGAAAUACGGGAACCCAUUGGUGGCGAGUAGCAGUGAAUAUUCAGGAACAUCUGUAGAUUGGUGGCUGUGUUCAGCAAUAAGUCUCCCCUCAGGGCUCCUGGCGUGAGUAAAGGCAGGUGGAUCUGGCCUUCCAGGGGAAGCCCACAUCUGCUCACAC
This is a non-coding RNA of Chrysemys picta bellii (western painted turtle), 590 nucleotides long. The record is from RefSeq and is a predicted model, not a curated record. Lineage: Eukaryota; Metazoa; Chordata; Testudines; Emydidae.